RNAcentral lists this ribosomal RNA (253 nucleotides) under uncultured bacterium. RNAcentral's name for it is "partial 16S ribosomal RNA". It matches the Rfam family "Bacterial small subunit ribosomal RNA", at positions 524 to 776 of the family's 1533-position model. The record is from RNAcentral.
UACGGGGGGGGCAAGCGUUGUUCGGAGUUACUGGGCGUAAAGGGCUCGUAGGCGGCCAACUAAGUCGGACGUGAAAUCCCCAGGCUCAACCUGGGAACUGCGUCUGAUACUGGAUGGCUUGAAUCCGGGAGAGGGAUGCAGAAUUCCAGGUGUAGCGGUGAAAUGCGUAGAUAUCUGGAGGAAUACCGGUGGCGAAGGCGGCAUCCUGGACCGGCAUUGACGCUGAGGAGCGAAAGCCAGGGGAGCAAACGGG